This 970-nucleotide ribosomal RNA is filed under the name Streptomyces sp. BAB-5697. RNAcentral's name for it is "bacterial SSU rRNA". It matches the Rfam family "Bacterial small subunit ribosomal RNA", at positions 272 to 1233 of the family's 1533-position model. The record is from RNAcentral. Lineage: Bacteria; Bacillati; Actinomycetota; Actinomycetes; Kitasatosporales; Streptomycetaceae.
GGCGACGACUGGUUGUCUGGUUUUGUAUUGUGACCGGCCACACUGGGUGCUGGGACUUCGUUUUAUACUCGGACGGGAGGUAGCUGGGGGGAAUGUUGCACAAUGGGCGAAAGCCUGAUGCAUCCUCGCCGCGUGAGGGAUGACGGCCUUGGGGUUGUAAACCUCUUUCAGCAGGGAAGAAGCGAAAGUGUCGGUACCUGCAGAAGAAGCGCCGGCUAACUACGUGCCAGCAGCCGCGGUAAUACGUAGGGCGCGAGCGUUGUCCGGAAUUAUUGGGCGUAAAGAGCUCGUAGGCGGCUUGUCGCGUCGGUUGUGAAAGCCCGGGGCUUAACCCCGGGUCUGCAGUCGAUACGGGCAGGCUAGAGUUCGGUAGGGGAGAUCGGAAUUCCUGGUGUAGCGGUGAAAUGCGCAGAUAUCAGGAGGAACACCGGUGGCGAAGGCGGAUCUCUGGGCCGAUACUGACGCUGAGGAGCGAAAGCGUGGGGAGCGAACAGGAUUAGAUACCCUGGUAGUCCACGCCGUAAACGGUGGGCACUAGGUGUGGGCGACAUUCCACGUCGUCCGUGCCGCAGCUAACGCAUUAAGUGCCCCGCCUGGGGAGUACGGCCGCAAGGCUAAAACUCAAAGGAAUUGACGGGGGCCCCGCACAAGCGGCGGAGCAUGUGGCUUAAUUCGACUCAACGCGAAGAACCUUACCAAGGCUUGACAUACACCGGAAAACCCUGGAGACAGGGUCCCCCUUGUGGUCGGUGUACAGGUGGUGCAUGGCUGUCGUCAGCUCGUGUCGUGAGAUGUCGGGUUAAGUCCCGCAACGAGCGCAACCCUUGUCCCGUGUUGCCAGCAAGCCCUUGUGGUGCUGGGGACUUCACGGGCAGACUGCCGGGGUCAACUUCGGGAGGAAGGUGGGGGACGACGUCCCAGUCAUCAUUGCCCCCUAUGUCCUUGGGCCUGCACCACGUGCCUACUAUUG